CAGUAGCCGCGGUAAUACGUAGGUGGCAAGCGUUGUCCGGAAUUAUCGGGCGUAAAGGGCUCGCAAGCGGUUUCUUAAGUCUGAUGUGAAAGCCCCGGCUCAACCGGGGAGGGUCAUUGGAAACUGGGAAACUUGAGUGCAGAAGAGGAGAGUGGAAUUCCACGUGUAGCGGUGAAAUGCGUAGAGAUGUGGAGGAACACCAGUGGCGAAGGCGACUCUCUGGUCUGUAACUGACGCUGAGGAGCGAAAGCGUGGGGAGCGAACAGGAUUAGAUACCCCAGUAGUCCCUGUCUCUUAUACA
RNAcentral lists this ribosomal RNA (301 nucleotides) under uncultured bacterium. RNAcentral's name for it is "partial 16S ribosomal RNA". It matches the Rfam family "Bacterial small subunit ribosomal RNA", at positions 509 to 808 of the family's 1533-position model. The record is from RNAcentral.